This 468-nucleotide ribosomal RNA is filed under the name uncultured bacterium. RNAcentral's name for it is "partial 16S ribosomal RNA". It matches the Rfam family "Bacterial small subunit ribosomal RNA", at positions 28 to 507 of the family's 1533-position model. The record is from RNAcentral.
GAUGAACGCUGGCGGCGUGCUUAACACAUGCAAGUCGAACGGAAAGGCCAGGGCUUGGACUGGUACUCGAGUGGCGAACGGGUGAGUAACACGUGGGUGAUCUGCCCUGCACUUUGGGAUAAGCCUGGGAAACUGGGUCUAAUACCGGAUAGGACCAUGGUUUGGAUGCCGUUGUGUAAAGUUUUUUCGGUGUGGGAUGAGGUCGCGGCCUUUCAGCUUGUUGGGGGGGGAAUGGCCUACCAAGGCGGCGUCGGGUGGCCGGCGGGAGAGGGGGUAAGGCCACAGUGGGACUGAGAGACGGCCCAGACUCUUACGGGGGGCAGCAGUGGGGAAUAUUGCACAAUGGGGGCAAGACUGAUGCAGCGACGCCGCGUGGGGGAUGACGGCCUUCGGGUUGUAAACUCCUUUCGCUAGGGACGAAGCGUAUUUGUGACGGUACCUGGAGAAGAAGCACCGGCUAACUACGUG